CGGCACCUUUUUCAGGCAUUUCAGACUAUAUCCAUCAGAAGAACCAGCGUGCCAAGGCUGCGGCAGCAGCGUCCCGAGAAGGUCCGCAGCCUGGGGCUGGCAGAGGCUGUCCUAGGGAACCGUGGAGGCAGUA
This is a small nucleolar RNA of Sorex araneus (European shrew), 133 nucleotides long. RefSeq annotates it as small nucleolar RNA SNORA70. The transcript has a single exon. The record is from RefSeq and is a predicted model, not a curated record. Lineage: Eukaryota; Metazoa; Chordata; Mammalia; Eulipotyphla; Soricidae.